This 777-nucleotide ribosomal RNA is filed under the name uncultured Neocallimastigales. RNAcentral describes it as "partial large subunit ribosomal RNA". It matches the Rfam family "Eukaryotic large subunit ribosomal RNA", at positions 24 to 627 of the family's 3401-position model. The record is from RNAcentral. Lineage: Eukaryota; Fungi; Neocallimastigomycota; Neocallimastigomycetes; Neocallimastigales.
UAUCUCUGUAGAGUCUGCAUAUCAAUAAGCGGAGGAAAAGAAACUAACUAGGAUUCCCUCAGUAACGGCGAGUGAAGCGGGAAGAGCUCAAAUUUGAAAUCUUCAAGGUUCUACCUUGACGAAUUGUAGUUUAAAGAAGUGUUUUCUGUUGGAGUUUUGGAUAAAAGUUCUUUGGAAUAGGACAUCAUAGAGGGUGAGAAUCCCGUAUUUGACCAUUUACUUUCAAGCUUUGUGAUACACUUUCAAAGAGUCGGAUUGUUUGGGAAUGCAGUCCAAAAUGGGUGGUAAAUUUCAUCUAAAGCUAAAUAUUGGCGAGAGACCGAUAGCGAACAAGUACCGUGAGGGAAAGAUGAAAAGAACUUUGAAAAGAGAGUUAAACAGUACGUGAAAUUGUCAAAAGGGAAGCGUUUGACACCAGUGUUGUUUUCUCGAAAAUCAAUUAAAAAAGGCAGGAUUUUGUGUUGUAUUGACUUUAUCAGCUUUCUGCACUCUUUUCUUGUCUUUUUUAAUGCACUUUUCGUUUAACAAGUCAACAUCAAUUUCUUUUGUUGUAAAAGGGUCAUUGGAAGGUGGCUUUCUUUUCGGAGAAAGUGUCUAUAGCCUUUGGCCUCUGCAAUCGGAGAGAUUGAGGUCUGCAGCGUAGAUCCUUCGGGGUUAGAUACAUUUGUGCUAAGUUAUAGCCUUUCGUAGACAACUUGUUGACUAUGAUCAGUCAUGUAGCUUACUCGCUUAUGCUAUUUUACCUACGCUUAGGAUGUUGACGAUCAGCUGAGCGCG